Molecule: non-coding RNA, 500 nt
Organism: Pelobates cultripes (western spadefoot toad)
Lineage: Eukaryota; Metazoa; Chordata; Amphibia; Anura; Pelobatidae
Source: the annotation of a GenBank genome assembly
AUUUAUUUUCAGUUCUAUACAGUUCUGUAUUUUGUUAAAGAACAUGACAUUAUUUCUCAAAGCAGAUUUGUCACUUUAAUGUGGGUUUGCAUAUUUUUAAGACUCCCAAAGGGGACAUAUCUACUUAAGGUCAUGUGCCUGGAGUGAAAAGUGGGUAAACCUGCUUGCAGCCUACAUAGCCAAUUUCUUCUGAGGGAUGCUAUUGAGCUCCUGGUGCUUCAACUACCAAGAUCUCCAUCAGUGCUGUACGAUACUGAGAAGUGGAGGAUCCUGUUUGAGUCUCCAUAAAUGGCCUCCUACAGGUGGGACUUGUGAUGGUUGCUGGGACUGGACAAACAUUGACAGUGGAGCUCUGACUUUUGUCAUUCUCAGGCUUUUCCAUAAGACAAAAUAAUACAAGUGAUUUGUAUGGUGUCUUGGAUUGCACUCUAUUUCAAUGAAAUUUCAACACUGGCAUAAGUACUAUAUUGUAAUACUCCGACAUGACUGGUUAAAUGGGG